This 72-nucleotide transfer RNA is filed under the name Marmota monax (woodchuck). Its description in RNAcentral is "tRNA.Ser". It matches the Rfam family "tRNA". Rfam says of the family: Transfer RNA (tRNA) molecules are approximately 80 nucleotides in length. Their secondary structure includes four short double-helical elements and three loops (D, anti-codon, and T loops). The record is from RNAcentral. Lineage: Eukaryota; Metazoa; Chordata; Mammalia; Rodentia; Sciuridae.
GGGGAUAUUGCUCAGUUGGUAGAGUGCGUGCCUCGAAUGCACAAGGCCCUGGCUUCAGUUCCCAGUACCACA